Long non-coding RNA from Cucurbita moschata (crookneck pumpkin), 797 nucleotides. RefSeq lists it as uncharacterized. The record is from RefSeq and is a predicted model, not a curated record. Lineage: Eukaryota; Viridiplantae; Streptophyta; Magnoliopsida; Cucurbitales; Cucurbitaceae. The transcript is spliced from 4 exons.
CCGCCGUAGAAGCAACUCCACUGCCCCUUCCUUCUCUCAGGCUAUGAGCUUACCCUCGACUUGAUGCCAUUCCCUUGUUCCGCAACCAACCUGGCUUUCAGGUUCCGGCGACUCAAACAAAUCUCAAGCCUCAAUUCUACUCGGACAUUUUAGUUGUUUACCUAUCCGACAAAGUACGAAGAGUACGAAGAGUACUGAGUUAUGGAGCUGGAUCAAGGACCGACUUGGUUUGGGAAGCAUUCCCGACAGAGAAGUGGAAGACUUCAAUCCGCAGUCUCUGAUGUUUCCUUGGCACAUGAUUAGAUAUAUGGAUGAUAGAUUAUUAAUUUUAAAUCGCAGUCUUGCUUCGUUUCUAGAAUAUCUGUUAGCGUUCGUGUGGUGUAGGUCGGUUCGGCUCAACAGUGGUAUGAUGAAUUGGAUAGUCUAGCCUUUUCACCACGAGAAUCAGAAGUGGUGGAAGAUACUAUAAGAGCUGUUAACCAUAUUGGAGACGAUAAGUUUCAAAUUGAGUGUGCUGUCAAUACAAGUCCUGGAACUAGCGAGGUUAUAGUGUAUGCAGCCGUAUAUUUAAGGCAUAAAAGAGACCAAGAUUGGGAAGGCAAUGGUGACAAACAAGCAGCAGCAGCAGCAGCAGCCUUUUUCCAAGACUUUUAAUUUGUUUGGAGGAAAAAAUAAAUGUAUGGAGGGCAGUUAUCAAUACCAAAUUAUCAGAAUAUUAUAUUCAAACUAACCUUUUUCCAUUGUUCGAGUCAAUUAUAUAAGUAUCAUUACACAGGUAGAAGUCAUUUAUGGAUGCU